Molecule: transfer RNA, 78 nt
Filed under: Bos taurus (domestic cattle)
Lineage: Eukaryota; Metazoa; Chordata; Mammalia; Artiodactyla; Bovidae
Also listed under: 2 other names
Rfam family: tRNA
About the family: Transfer RNA (tRNA) molecules are approximately 80 nucleotides in length. Their secondary structure includes four short double-helical elements and three loops (D, anti-codon, and T loops).
Source: Rfam by way of RNAcentral
UCUCUGGUGGCUCAGACGGUAAAGCAUCUGCCUGCAAUCGCAAUGCAGGAGGCCUGGGUUCAAUCCCAGGUCAGGAAG